GAACUCCAUCUCACAAACUCUUCUCGGUCUCAAUCUCUCAAGUUCUUCUUGUCCUCCAUUUCCAUGUUAUUCUAGCAUUGUCUAUGAUUAAUGUUACUUUGUCAUCAUACGUUUGAACGUCAAUGUUAGUUUGACCAACAUCUUUCACGACAACAAAGUAACAUUAUUACAACAAUGCGAAAACCAACAUAUUUCACCUCUUUAACAAACAAAGCCCAUAUUAUGUUGUCUGAACCACCCUCGUUGUCUUUCUCUGACAUACAUCUUUCCAUAUCUUCUAGCUCUAUGGUUUACACAAGCCCUAAAAAUGAAAAUCGGUAGAAAGACAAAGUAUUGAUAUGUCUUGUUGCCUUUUGUUGUAGGAAAAUAUUUGAAUAUGUAGCACUUGAGUUGGAUUUUUUU
Molecule: long non-coding RNA, 402 nt
Filed under: Trifolium pratense (red clover)
Lineage: Eukaryota; Viridiplantae; Streptophyta; Magnoliopsida; Fabales; Fabaceae
Description: long non-coding RNA (TPRA_LNC003508)
Source: RNAcentral